GACACACCUGGCACAGGGACAAGGGACAAGAACAGGGACAGAUCCUGGGACAGGGACAAGGAUGGGGACACAUCUGGCACAGGGACAAUCCCAGGGCACAGCUGGAUCUGGGACACCGUUGGAUCCCGGGUUGGGGACACACCUGGGACAGGAACGGGGACAGGAAUGAGGACACACCUGGGACAGGGACACACCUGGGACAGGAAUGGGGACACACCUGGGACAGGGACAGGGACAGGGACACAGCUGGACACUGGGACAGGGACACUGGACACAACUGGAUCCCAGGACACGGCUGGACAAUGGGACAGGGACAGAUCCCAGGACAGGGACAGGGACACUCCCAGGACAGCACUGGACACGGCUGGAUCCCAGGACACGGCUGGACAAUGGGACAGGGGCAAUUCCAGGACAGCACUGGACAAUGGGACAGGGAUGGGGACAGUGCUGGGACAGCGCUGGACACUGGACACAGAUCCCAGGACACAGCCGGACACUGGGACAGAUCCCAGGACAGCUCUGGACAAUGGACAUGGCCGGAUCCCAGGACAGGGACACUCCCAGGACACAGCUGGACAAUGGGACAGGGACACUCCCAGGGCACAGCUGGACAAUGGGACAGGGACAGUUCCAGGACAGGGACAGAUCCCGGACAGGGACAAUUCCAGGACAGGGACACUCCCAGGACACAGCUGGACAAUGGGACAGGGACAAUUCCAGGGCAGGGACACUCCCAGGACAGCCCUGGACACCGGACACGGUCGGAUCCCGGCUGUGGAUCCGGGCCCGAUUCCCUCCUGGAUGCUCUGGGACCAACGAGGGCGUGACCAGAUCCCCCUGGGCCCCACAAAUGGGUCCCAGAUCCCCCUGGAUGGAUCCCAGACCCCACAGAUGGAUCCUGGACUCCCCAAAUGGGUUCUGAACCCCACAAAUGGAUCCCAGACCCCUCAAAGGGGUCCCAGAUCCCUUCAUGUAUCCCAGACCCCCACAAAUGGAUCCCAAACCACUUCUGGACCCCCCUGGACAAAUCCCAGAUCCUGCAGAUGGAUCCCGGACUCUUCAAAUGGAUUCUGGACUCGCAGGAUGGGUCCCAGACCCCCCUGGACACCCCAAAUGGAUCCU
This is a long non-coding RNA of Zonotrichia albicollis (white-throated sparrow), 1122 nucleotides long. The record is from Ensembl. Lineage: Eukaryota; Metazoa; Chordata; Aves; Passeriformes; Passerellidae.